AUUAUAGCCAAAGCAAAGAUUUUUAUGCAGAAACUGUGCCGUCUUAAAAUUGAUUCGAAUGAUGGACUUCCUUCUGCAGAAAAUUAGGAAUGGCAUCAAUUUCUUUGACACUAGAGAGCAUAAACAACAUCAAUAUUGACAGACGUGUAGUGAUUGAUCAAGCUAAAAAUGUUGAAAUCCAUUGUUUUUUCGAUGCUUAUGAACGUUGUUUCGAAGUAGCAGUUUAUUGCAAGUCUGUAGAUUUUUCUGGGAGAACAUUGGUAAGGUUAAUCUUGAGCAAAUCAAGAGCUACUCCUUUUAAGAGCCUAUUGAUUCUCGAGGCUUGAGCUAUGUGCCACUGUCCUAUCGUCCAGGUUGGUGAAAAACGGCCUUAUCACCUUGAAAUUAGCAGUGACUCAAGUCUACUUAUGGACAGACUCAAUGAUAGCCCUCGAAUGGAUAUAAAAGGAACAUAUGGAUGAUAAGAUGUUUGUUCAGCAUAGUGUGGCCACAAUUCAAGAACUUUUCAUCUGUUCAACCGUGGCAUCGGAUCAGAAUCCAGCGGAUCUCCUGUCACGGAGUGUGGAUUCUGAUAAGCUAAGUGCAUCACAAAUUGUGUUGUCCAGCGUUGCUGGUGGGCAGUGACUAUCCAACUCAUGCAGUAUCUAUCUGAGAUAAAAGUUUAUUUGAAAAUGCCCCUAGCAAGAUUGUCACGACCAGCUAAGUGUUCAGCAUAGCCAAAUAUUCCUGAUACAACAAACAGAAAAUGAUUGCUUUGGAGAGGACAUCCACCAAUUAAUACGGCACGAGAACUGUCUUAUCUAAAAUUGCAGGGUCAACGGAUUGUUUGAAGGACAGAAACCAUAAAUCAAUCUCGGCUCCCUGAUGAAGCUAAAAAUUUCCGAGAGAAAGCACAGGCAAAGAAAUGGAGAUGCAGAGGAAAGAACUGGCUAGUUCACUUGCCAAGUGGACUAGCACAA
Long non-coding RNA from Stegodyphus dumicola, 959 nucleotides. The record is from RefSeq and is a predicted model, not a curated record. NCBI's taxonomy places the organism in Eukaryota, Metazoa, Arthropoda, Arachnida, Araneae, Eresidae.